This 389-nucleotide ribosomal RNA is filed under the name uncultured bacterium. RNAcentral describes it as "bacterial SSU rRNA". It matches the Rfam family "Bacterial small subunit ribosomal RNA", at positions 66 to 482 of the family's 1533-position model. The record is from RNAcentral.
ACAUAAGAAAAGCUUGCUUUUCUUGAUGACGAGUGGCGGACGGGUGAGUAAGAUUUGGGAAACUACCUGAUAGAGGGGGACAACAGUUGGAAACGACUGCUAAUACCGCAUACAGCCUUAGGGUGAAAGAAGAAAUUCGCUAUCAGAUGUGCCCAAACGGGAUUAGCUAGUAGGUGAGGUAAAGGCUCACCUAGGCGACGAUCUCUAGCUGGUCUGAGAGGAUGAUCAGCCACAUUGGGACUGAGACACGGCCCAGACUCCUACGGGAGGCAGCAGUAGGGAAUAUUGCACAAUGGAGGAAACUCUGAUGCAGCCAUGCCGCGUGUGUGAAGAAGGCCUUCGGGUUGUAAAGCACUUUCGGAGGGGAGGAAGUAAAUGACGUUACCCUC